UUCACCCAAGUAGUGUAAGGUUCCAAAGCUACACAGUUGCACGGACCAAGCUCAGAUCUUCCUUCCCUAUGCACAUUAUGCCAAGCAUGUAUCAUCUUCUGCUUCAAAUGUUGCGAAUAUUUACCCUCUUGAUAGAAAAGACCUUCUAACUAAGUGUUAUUAUGUUUGUCUCUCAAGCGGAACCCAAGUUGAUGACUAGCCAAAGC
Molecule: long non-coding RNA, 206 nt
Filed under: Lathyrus oleraceus (garden pea)
Lineage: Eukaryota; Viridiplantae; Streptophyta; Magnoliopsida; Fabales; Fabaceae
Description: Pisum sativum (pea) long non-coding RNA (PSAT_LNC024463)
Source: RNAcentral